This 253-nucleotide ribosomal RNA is filed under the name uncultured prokaryote. Its description in RNAcentral is "partial 16S ribosomal RNA". It matches the Rfam family "Bacterial small subunit ribosomal RNA", at positions 524 to 776 of the family's 1533-position model. The record is from RNAcentral.
UACGGAGGGUGCAAGCGUUAUCCGGAUUUACUGGGUUUAAAGGGUGCGUAGGUGGGUAAGUAAGUCAGUGGUGAAAUCUCCGAGCUUAACUCGGAAACUGCCAUUGAUACUAUUUAUCUUGAAUUUUCUGGAGGUGAGCGGAAUAUGUCAUGUAGCGGUGAAAUGCUUAGAUAUGACAUAGAACACCUAUUGCGAAGGCAGCUUACUACGCAGAUAUUGACGCUCAUGCACGAAAGCGUGGGGAUCAAACAGG